CUGGCCUUGACAUCCACGGAAUUCUGCAGAGAUGUGGAAGUGCCUUCGGGAACCGUGAGACAGGUGCUGCAUGGCUGUCGUCAGCUCGUGUCGUGAGAUGUUGGGUUAAGUCCCGCAACGAGCGCAACCCUUGUCCUUAGUUGCCAUCAUUCAGUUGGGAACUCUAAGGAGACCGCCGGUGACAAACCGGAGGAAGGUGGGGAUGACGUCAAGUCAUCAUGGCCUUUAUGGCCAGGGCUACACACGUGCUACAAUGGCAGGUACAGAGGGAAGCCAACGCGCGAGCGGGAGCUAAUCCCAGAAAGCCUGUCGUAGUCCGGAUCGGAGUCUGCAACUCGACUCUGUGAAGUUGGAAUCGCUAGUAAUCGCAGAUCAGCAUUGCUGCGGUGAAUACGUUCCC
This 400-nucleotide ribosomal RNA is filed under the name uncultured bacterium. RNAcentral describes it as "bacterial SSU rRNA". It matches the Rfam family "Bacterial small subunit ribosomal RNA", at positions 975 to 1375 of the family's 1533-position model. The record is from RNAcentral.